CGGGGGAGAGGGCUAGCUUGUUGGUCGUCACCUGUGUUGCAAAUAUAUUUAAUCCACACGACUCUCGGCAACGGAUAUCUCGGCUCUCGCAUGGAUGAAGAACGUAGCGAAAUGCGAUACCUGGUGUGAAUUGCAGAAUCCCGCGAACCAUCGAGUCUUUGAACGCAAGUUGCGCCCGGGGCCACUCGGCCGAGGGCACGCCUGCCUGGGCGUCACGUCAAAACACGCUCCCAACCACCCUCUUCGGGAAUUGGGAUGCGGCAUAUGGUCCCUCGUCUGCAAGGGGCGGUGGGCCGAAGAUCGGGCUGCCGGCGUACCGCGUCGGACACAGCGCAUGGUGGGCGUCCUUGCCUUAUCAAUGCAGUGCAUCCGACGCGUAGACGGCAUCAUGGCCUCGAAACGACCCAUCGAACGAAGUGCACGUCGCUUCGACCGCGACCCCAGGUCAGGCGGGACUACCCGCUGAG
This 467-nucleotide ribosomal RNA is filed under the name embryophyte environmental sample. RNAcentral describes it as "eukaryotic LSU rRNA". The stretch from base 60 to 215 matches the Rfam family "5.8S ribosomal RNA". Lineage: Eukaryota; Viridiplantae; Streptophyta. The record is from RNAcentral.